UACGGGGGGGGCAAGCGUUGUUCGGAAUUACUGGGCGUAAAGGGUUCGUAGGUGGCUUGCUAAGUCAGACGUGAAAUCCCUCAGCUUAACUGGGGAAUUGCGUCUGAUACUGGCGAGCUUGAGUGCAGGAGAGGAACGCGGAAUUCCAGGUGUAGCGGUGAAAUGCGUAGAUAUCUGGAGGAACACCGGUGGCGAAGGCGGCGUUCUGGACUGCAACUGACACUGAUGAACGAAAGCCAGGGGAGCAAACGGG
RNAcentral lists this ribosomal RNA (253 nucleotides) under uncultured bacterium. RNAcentral describes it as "partial 16S ribosomal RNA". It matches the Rfam family "Bacterial small subunit ribosomal RNA", at positions 524 to 776 of the family's 1533-position model. The record is from RNAcentral.